AUCAAAUUCGGGUCGUUGAAAGGUAGGUAACCCGCUGCCAGAACGAACAAAACCACCCCGCAUGACCAUACAUCAACCUUGGCACCAUCGUAACCUUUUUUGGCCAAAAUCUCGGGUGCCACGUAAGCAGGGGUGCCGCAAAGAGUGUGGAGCAGUCCAUCGGGUCGGAUCUGAUCCCUGACGGCACUCAAGCCGAAAUCGGAGACCCGGAGAUCCCCAUUCUCGUCGAGGAGUAAAUUUUCGGGCUUGAGGUCACGGUGGAAACCGCCGCGGGAGUGGCAGUAGCCGACGGCGGAGAUGAGCUGGUGGAAGUACCUGCGGCUGAGAUCCUCGGAGAAUCUGCCCUUGGAUAUUUUGGCGAAGAGUUCCCCUCCGCGAACGAAGUCCAUGAUGAAGUAGAUUUUGGACUUGGUGGCCAGCACCUCGUGGAGGCGCACGAUGUUCGGGUGGUGGAGCCUGCUCAUGAUCGCGAUCUCGCGCUUCACGUUCCCGGCCAGGCCCGUUCCGGCCAGCUUCUUCUUGUUUAUGAUCUUAACGGCCACGCUGUGCCCCGUUUGCACGUUGCGGGCGUAGUGCACCUUCGCGAACGCGCCGCACCCCAGCAUGCGCCCGAGCUCGUAUUUCCCGAACAGCGCGCCGUUCUCCGCCGCCUGUGCCGCCGUGGCCUCGAUCUCCGGCAUGGUUGCGCAGGCGAUGCCAGAGACCGAAUGAACGUACACUAGAGCCCAAACUGAAUGGUGGGUUAUGCGAUUGGAGGGGCCAAUUGAAAUGGGUCGCUUGCAGAAUUCGAUUUUUUCUUUUUUCGGGGGGAAAUGAGGUUGUGUUGCUGAGUUUUUUUUUUCUUUUUUUUUUUCGGUUCUUUGGGGGAAAUGUGGGGGUUUUGGUUUUUGGUUUGUUGGGCACGACGGGUUGGGAGGGAAGACAGAGGAUUGUGAGGUGGUGUGGGACCCACGUCACACGUCACACGUCACACGUCACACGUCGCACGUGCGUGGAGAUGGAGUUGAUUUUGUCUUUGAAUUUUGACACGUGUCGAUGCUUAUGCUUACGUUUUGGUGCAUGAAAACGAGAAUGGACGGUGCUUUCUUCGCUGUUUA
Cajanus cajan (pigeon pea) is the source of this 1097-nucleotide long non-coding RNA. RefSeq lists it as uncharacterized. The record is from RefSeq and is a predicted model, not a curated record. Lineage: Eukaryota; Viridiplantae; Streptophyta; Magnoliopsida; Fabales; Fabaceae.